Molecule: ribosomal RNA, 518 nt
Filed under: Salmonella enterica
Lineage: Bacteria; Pseudomonadati; Pseudomonadota; Gammaproteobacteria; Enterobacterales; Enterobacteriaceae
Description: partial 23S ribosomal RNA
Rfam family: Bacterial large subunit ribosomal RNA
Source: RNAcentral
AGACCCGAAACCCGGUGAUCUAGCCAUGGGCAGGUUGAAGGUUGGGUAACACUAACUGGAGGACCGAACCGACUAAUGUUGAAAAAUUAGCGGAUGACCUGUGGCUGGGGGUGAAAGGCCAAUCAAACCGGGAGAUAGCUGGUUCUCCCCGAAAGCUAUUUAGGUAGCGCCUCGUGAACUCAUCUCCGGGGGUAGAGCACUGUUUCGGCUAGGGGGCCAUCCCGGCUUACCAACCCGAUGCAAACUGCGAAUACCGGAGAAUGUUAUCACGGGAGACACACGGCGGGUGCUAACGUCCGUCGUGAAGAGGGAAACAACCCAGACCGCCAGCUAAGGUCCCAAAGUCAUGGUUAAGUGGGAAACGAUGUGGGAAGGCCCAGACAGCCAGGAUGUUGGCUUAGAAGCAGCCAUCAUUUAAAGAAAGCGUAAUAGCUCACUGGUCGAGUCGGCCUGCGCGGAAGAUGUAACGGGGCUAAACCAUGCACCGAAGCUGCGGCAGCGACGCUGAUGCGUUGUUG